Molecule: ribosomal RNA, 658 nt
Filed under: uncultured fungus
Lineage: Eukaryota; Fungi
Description: eukaryotic LSU rRNA
Rfam family: Eukaryotic large subunit ribosomal RNA
Source: RNAcentral
CCCGCUGAACUUAAGCAUAUCACUAAGCGGAGGAAAAGAAAUUAACUAAGAUUGCCUCAGUAACGGCGAGUGAAGCGGCAAGAGCCCAAACUGGAAAUCUUCGUGCUGAGCACGACGAAUUGUAAUCUAAAGGUGUUUCACUUAACGGGCGGUGGCGCAGAAGUUCCCUCGAACGGGACGCCAGAGAGGGUGACAGCCCCGUAUGUGGUGCCACUGCUUACCGAGUGUGAUUCCAAAGAGUCGGGUUGUUUUGUAUUGCAGCCCUAAGUGGGGGAUAAACUUCCUCUAAGGCUAAAUAUCUAUGGGAAACCGAUAGCGAACAAGUACUGUGAAGGAAAGAUGAAAAGAACUUUGAAAAGAGAGUCAAAAGACUUGAAAUCGUUGAGAAGGAAGCGGUAGAAAUUUAUUCUUCGGCGGAGAACGAAGGUCGUCGUCCAACCAUUGAGGGCUUCCAGCACUUUAUAGGCUGUGGUUUUCACUUGGGGAAGCGGCUGCUGGGUUGUCCGUUGUGAGGCAAGAUGAGUUCCCGCUCCCGCAAAAGCUCCCGUGACCUGGCAAGGUUCGCUUUGCAGUCUAGGGUAGCUAGUGGGCGCGAGGACUGAGGAUGCCUUGUGCGAUCUUGCCAAAAUGGUUUUUACCGACCCGUCUUGAAACACGG